RNAcentral lists this ribosomal RNA (374 nucleotides) under uncultured organism. RNAcentral's name for it is "partial 16S ribosomal RNA". It matches the Rfam family "Bacterial small subunit ribosomal RNA", at positions 527 to 896 of the family's 1533-position model. The record is from RNAcentral.
GUAGGUGGCAAGCGUUGUCCGGAAUUAUUGGGCGUAAAGCGCGCGCAGGCGGUUCUUUAAGUCUGAUGUGAAAGCCCACGGCUCAACCGUGGAGGGUCAUUGGAAACUGGAGAACUUGAGUACAGAAGAGGAAAGCGGAACUCCACGUGUAGCGGUGAAAUGCGUAGAGAUGUGGAGGAACACCAGUGGCGAGGGCGGCUUUCUGGUCUGUAACUGACGCUGAGGCUCGAAAGCGUGGGGAGCAAACAGGGACUAGAUACCCUGGUAGUCCACGCCGUAAACGAUGAGUGCUAAGUGUUAGGGGGGUUUCCGCCCCCUUAGUGCUGCAGCUAACGCAUUAAGCACUCCGCCUGGGGAGUACGGCCGCAAGGCUG